This 2902-nucleotide ribosomal RNA is filed under the name Escherichia coli. Its description in RNAcentral is "bacterial LSU rRNA". It matches the Rfam family "Bacterial large subunit ribosomal RNA". RNAcentral also lists the same sequence under 1 other name. The record is from RNAcentral. Lineage: Bacteria; Pseudomonadati; Pseudomonadota; Gammaproteobacteria; Enterobacterales; Enterobacteriaceae.
UUAAGCGACUAAGCGUACACGGUGGAUGCCCUGGCAGUCAGAGGCGAUGAAGGACGUGCUAAUCUGCGAUAAGCGUCGGUAAGGUGAUAUGAACCGUUAUAACCGGCGAUUUCCGAAUGGGGAAACCCAGUGUGAUUCGUCACACUAUCAUUAACUGAAUCCAUAGGUUAAUGAGGCGAACCGGGGGAACUGAAACAUCUAAGUACCCCGAGGAAAAGAAAUCAACCGAGAUUCCCCCAGUAGCGGCGAGCGAACGGGGAGCAGCCCAGAGCCUGAAUCAGUGUGUGUGUUAGUGGAAGCGUCUGGAAAGGCGCGCGAUACAGGGUGACAGCCCCGUACACAAAAAUGCACAUGCUGUGAGCUCGAUGAGUAGGGCGGGACACGUGGUAUCCUGUCUGAAUAUGGGGGGACCAUCCUCCAAGGCUAAAUACUCCUGACUGACCGAUAGUGAACCAGUACCGUGAGGGAAAGGCGAAAAGAACCCCGGCGAGGGGAGUGAAAAAGAACCUGAAACCGUGUACGUACAAGCAGUGGGAGCACGCUUAGGCGUGUGACUGCGUACCUUUUGUAUAAUGGGUCAGCGACUUAUAUUCUGUAGCAAGGUUAACCGAAUAGGGGAGCCGAAGGGAAACCGAGUCUUAACUGGGCGUUAAGUUGCAGGGUAUAGACCCGAAACCCGGUGAUCUAGCCAUGGGCAGGUUGAAGGUUGGGUAACACUAACUGGAGGACCGAACCGACUAAUGUUGAAAAAUUAGCGGAUGACUUGUGGCUGGGGGUGAAAGGCCAAUCAAACCGGGAGAUAGCUGGUUCUCCCCGAAAGCUAUUUAGGUAGCGCCUCGUGAAUUCAUCUCCGGGGGUAGAGCACUGUUUCGGCAAGGGGGUCAUCCCGACUUACCAACCCGAUGCAAACUGCGAAUACCGGAGAAUGUUAUCACGGGAGACACACGGCGGGUGCUAACGUCCGUCGUGAAGAGGGAAACAACCCAGACCGCCAGCUAAGGUCCCAAAGUCAUGGUUAAGUGGGAAACGAUGUGGGAAGGCCCAGACAGCCAGGAUGUUGGCUUAGAAGCAGCCAUCAUUUAAAGAAAGCGUAAUAGCUCACUGGUCGAGUCGGCCUGCGCGGAAGAUGUAACGGGGCUAAACCAUGCACCGAAGCUGCGGCAGCGACGCUGAUGCGUUGUUGGGUAGGGGAGCGUUCUGUAAGCCUGCGAAGGUGUGCUGUGAGGCAUGCUGGAGGUAUCAGAAGUGCGAAUGCUGACAUAAGUAACGAUAAAGCGGGUGAAAAGCCCGCUCGCCGGAAGACCAAGGGUUCCUGUCCAACGUUAAUCGGGGCAGGGUGAGUCGACCCCUAAGGCGAGGCCGAAAGGCGUAGUCGAUGGGAAACAGGUUAAUAUUCCUGUACUUGGUGUUACUGCGAAGGGGGGACGGAGAAGGCUAUGUUGGCCGGGCGACGGUUGUCCCGGUUUAAGCGUGUAGGCUGGUUUUCCAGGCAAAUCCGGAAAAUCAAGGCUGAGGCGUGAUGACGAGGCACUACGGUGCUGAAGCAACAAAUGCCCUGCUUCCAGGAAAAGCCUCUAAGCAUCAGGUAACAUCAAAUCGUACCCCAAACCGACACAGGUGGUCAGGUAGAGAAUACCAAGGCGCUUGAGAGAACUCGGGUGAAGGAACUAGGCAAAAUGGUGCCGUAACUUCGGGAGAAGGCACGCUGAUAUGUAGGUGAAGCGACUUGCUCGUGGAGCUGAAAUCAGUCGAAGAUACCAGCUGGCUGCAACUGUUUAUUAAAAACACAGCACUGUGCAAACACGAAAGUGGACGUAUACGGUGUGACGCCUGCCCGGUGCCGGAAGGUUAAUUGAUGGGGUUAGCGCAAGCGAAGCUCUUGAUCGAAGCCCCGGUAAACGGCGGCCGUAACUAUAACGGUCCUAAGGUAGCGAAAUUCCUUGUCGGGUAAGUUCCGACCUGCACGAAUGGCGUAAUGAUGGCCAGGCUGUCUCCACCCGAGACUCAGUGAAAUUGAACUCGCUGUGAAGAUGCAGUGUACCCGCGGCAAGACGGAAAGACCCCGUGAACCUUUACUAUAGCUUGACACUGAACAUUGAGCCUUGAUGUGUAGGAUAGGUGGGAGGCUUUGAAGUGUGGACGCCAGUCUGCAUGGAGCCGACCUUGAAAUACCACCCUUUAAUGUUUGAUGUUCUAACGUUGACCCGUAAUCCGGGUUGCGGACAGUGUCUGGUGGGUAGUUUGACUGGGGCGGUCUCCUCCUAAAGAGUAACGGAGGAGCACGAAGGUUGGCUAAUCCUGGUCGGACAUCAGGAGGUUAGUGCAAUGGCAUAAGCCAGCUUGACUGCGAGCGUGACGGCGCGAGCAGGUGCGAAAGCAGGUCAUAGUGAUCCGGUGGUUCUGAAUGGAAGGGCCAUCGCUCAACGGAUAAAAGGUACUCCGGGGAUAACAGGCUGAUACCGCCCAAGAGUUCAUAUCGACGGCGGUGUUUGGCACCUCGAUGUCGGCUCAUCACAUCCUGGGGCUGAAGUAGGUCCCAAGGGUAUGGCUGUUCGCCAUUUAAAGUGGUACGCGAGCUGGGUUUAGAACGUCGUGAGACAGUUCGGUCCCUAUCUGCCGUGGGCGCUGGAGAACUGAGGGGGGCUGCUCCUAGUACGAGAGGACCGGAGUGGACGCAUCACUGGUGUUCGGGUUGUCAUGCCAAUGGCACUGCCCGGUAGCUAAAUGCGGAAGAGAUAAGUGCUGAAAGCAUCUAAGCACGAAACUUGCCCCGAGAUGAGUUCUCCCUGACUCCUUGAGAGUCCUGAAGGAACGUUGAAGACGACGACGUUGAUAGGCCGGGUGUGUAAGCGCAGCGAUGCGUUGAGCUAACCGGUACUAAUGAACCGUGAGGCUUAACCUU